RNAcentral lists this transfer RNA (68 nucleotides) under Gyrohypnus fracticornis. RNAcentral describes it as "tRNA-Asp". The record is from RNAcentral. Lineage: Eukaryota; Metazoa; Arthropoda; Insecta; Coleoptera; Staphylinidae.
GAAAAUUUAGUUAAAUUAUAACAUUAGUUUGUCAUACUAAAAUUAUUUAAUUAAAUAAUUAAUUUUUA